AGAAGUCACGAAACUUGUUUUUAUCUGUAAUUUCAUUUGCAAGAACUGGAAGUUUUAUCCUGAGCUUUGACAGGUCAUCGCACCUUCAAUCAACAUUUUGGAAAUUUGGGGAAGACAAACAGGUUAUGUUCGUUUUACCAAAACACUCACCCAAGCUCCAUCAUUCCUUCAAAGAAUUCCUUUUUGGUGAACUCACAUUGUGUAGCUGCACGGAACUUCCAUGCAAUUAUCAGAACAAUGCGACUAGUUGGUUCUACCUGUAACUCUUCACAAAACUUUGAAAUUCCCUCCACACCAACUUUAUCCGGAUCUAAUGGGUCUGUGAAUGUAGAUUAAGUUA
Molecule: non-coding RNA, 340 nt
Organism: Ciona intestinalis (vase tunicate)
Lineage: Eukaryota; Metazoa; Chordata; Ascidiacea; Phlebobranchia; Cionidae
Source: RefSeq, a predicted model, not a curated record